GGGGCGCCCACCUGACCCCAUGCCGAACUCAGAAGUGAAACGCCGUAGCGCCGAUGGUAGUGUGGGGUCUCCCCAUGCGAGAGUAGGGAACUGCCAGGC
Molecule: ribosomal RNA, 99 nt
Filed under: Salmonella enterica subsp. enterica serovar Enteritidis
Lineage: Bacteria; Pseudomonadati; Pseudomonadota; Gammaproteobacteria; Enterobacterales; Enterobacteriaceae
Source: RNAcentral